UACGAAGGUGGCAAGCGUUACUCGGAAUUACUAGGCGUAAAGGGCAGGUAGGCGGUUUGAUAAGUCCGUUGUGAAAGCUCCCGGCUUAACCGGGAGAGGUCAAUGGAUACUGUCGAACUUGAGUAUAGGAGAGGGUACUGGAAUUCCUGGUGUAGCGGUGAAAUGCGCAGAGAUCAGGAGGAACACCAAUGGCGAAAGCAGGUACCUGGACUAUUACUGACGCUCAGCUGCGAAAGCUAGGGGAGCAAACAGG
RNAcentral lists this ribosomal RNA (253 nucleotides) under uncultured bacterium. RNAcentral's name for it is "partial 16S ribosomal RNA". It matches the Rfam family "Bacterial small subunit ribosomal RNA", at positions 524 to 776 of the family's 1533-position model. The record is from RNAcentral.